This 429-nucleotide ribosomal RNA is filed under the name uncultured Legionella sp. Its description in RNAcentral is "bacterial SSU rRNA". It matches the Rfam family "Bacterial small subunit ribosomal RNA", at positions 355 to 776 of the family's 1533-position model. The record is from RNAcentral. Lineage: Bacteria; Pseudomonadati; Pseudomonadota; Gammaproteobacteria; Legionellales; Legionellaceae.
UGGGGAAUAUUGGACAAUGGGGGCAACCCUGAUCCAGCAAUGCCGCGUGUGUGAAGAAGGCCUGAGGGUUGUAAAGCACUUUCAGUGGGGAGGAGGGUAAUUUGGUUAAGAGCUGAGUUAUUGGACGUUACCCACAGAAGAAGCACCGGCUAACUCCGUGCCAGCAGCCGCGGUAAUACGGAGGGUGCGAGCGUUAAUCGGAAUUACUGGGCGUAAAGCGUGCGUAGGUGGUUGAAUAAGUUAUCUGUGAAAUUCCUGGGCUUAACCUAGGGUGGUCAGAUGAUACUGUUUAACUCGAGUAUGGGAGAGGGUAGUGGAAUUUCCGGUGUAGCGGUGAAAUGCGUAGAGAUCGGAAGGAACACCAGUGGCGAAGGCGGCUACCUGGCCUAAUACUGACACUGAGGCACGAAAGCGUGGGGAGCAAACAGG